Molecule: ribosomal RNA, 379 nt
Filed under: uncultured bacterium
Lineage: Bacteria
Description: bacterial SSU rRNA
Rfam family: Bacterial small subunit ribosomal RNA
Source: RNAcentral
UAUUGGACAAUGGGCGCAAGCCUGAUCCAGCCAAGCUGCGUGAGUGAUAAAGGCCUUCGGGUUGUAAAGCUCUUUUGCCGGGGACCAUAAGGACGGUACCCGGAGAAUAAGUACCGGCUAACUUCGUGCCAGCAGCCGCGGUAAUACGAAGGGGACAAGCGUUGUUCGGAAUCACUGGGCGUAAAGCGCACGUAGGCGGAUCAUUUAGCCAGGGGUGAAAUCCCCGGGCUCAACCUCGGAAAGGCCUUUGAGACUGAUGGUCUAGAGUUCGAUAGAGGUGGGUAGAAUUCCUAGUGUAGAGGUGAAAUUCGUAGAUAUUGGGAAGAAGACCGGUGGCGAAGGCGGCCCACUGGAUCGAUACUGACGCUGAGGUGCGAAA